AUACGGAGGGUGCAAGCGUUGUUCGGAAUUAUUGGGCGUAAAGAGCAUGUAGGCGGACUAUUAAGUCUGGUGUGAAAGCCCGGGGCUCAACCCCGGAAGUGCAUUGGAUACUGGUAGUCUUGAGUAUGGGAGAGGAAAGUGGAAUUCCGAGUGUAGGAGUGAAAUCCGUAGAUAGUCGGAGGAACACCAGUGGCGAAGGCGGCUUUCUGGACCAAUACUGACGCUGAGAUGCGAAAGCGUGGGGAGCGAACAGGAUUAGAAACCCUAGUAGUCC
Molecule: ribosomal RNA, 274 nt
Filed under: uncultured bacterium
Lineage: Bacteria
Description: partial 16S ribosomal RNA
Rfam family: Bacterial small subunit ribosomal RNA
Source: RNAcentral